This is a long non-coding RNA of Galeopterus variegatus (Sunda flying lemur), 1077 nucleotides long. RefSeq lists it as uncharacterized. The record is from RefSeq and is a predicted model, not a curated record. NCBI's taxonomy places the organism in Eukaryota, Metazoa, Chordata, Mammalia, Dermoptera, Cynocephalidae. The transcript is spliced from 2 exons.
AUGGCAAUUUUAUUUGUUUUUAGUAUCAACGUUGUAAAAUUACUCCACAUUUUUUUCUCUCACAUCACUCAGUAUCUUACCACUGCUAACCAUUUCCAUAUUUCCUGUUUUCUUCCAGGCCUUUUCCAUAUGCUGUCCACAUGGUUGUAUCCCUGGCGUGGAUUGUGCUCCAGUCCCUGACAGAGGGCAGCAACUGGAUUGACAUGGAAAAGCCCUGUUUUCUGAGCCAGGACUUAGGGAGAAAGCAUUGGCCCCACAUGGGGCUAGAAGACCUGCCAGCCGGGACCCUGCGAGCACCAGCGCUGGCAGUGCCUGGACAGUCUCAGGCUCAUCAGCUUGAAUGCUGAGCUCAGAAGCCUGUGAGAAGCUGAGGCCUGUCAGGCUUGGAGGACAAUGGCCAUGUAUACUGCACUGUGGCAAAUCCCUGGGGGAAGGGAGAAGCUGGAGGGUGAGAGGACCCAGCAUCCUUUGGGUCAGCAUGGAUAUUUCAGGUGGAUAUAAUAAAUUAAUAUAGAAAUUUACACCUGGGAGGAUCCUCAGAUCCAGUUUGAACCAGAUACUUUCAAUUACAGAUUCUCAAGGUCUUACUUCAUUCUCCAGAGAGUAAUUUUUUUUUAAUGUGUCUAAAAGUAACAGAUUAAAGAAAAAUCUUUAAACUCAUUAAUGGUCUUUGUUUACUGCCCAAAUGCAUGCAAACUUUCAUAACAUUGGUUUGCUUAGUGGAAGGCUGGUUUUGAGUGAACUGUCUGGCUCAGAUUCAAACUCCAGUGAACAAAUACUUCCAAGUUUACUUGCAAAAUUUCCCAGACAGAGAAGUUCUUCCAUUAGGUUUGCCAGAGGAUUUGAAACAGUGGUGAGCCCUGGAGACAAGGGAACGUUUGCUGGCUCUUGGACAUAACCUUGCACAGUAAGGCUCAUAUCAGGCUGAAGGCAGUGCAGCAUGAACUGACCCGAUUUGAGGGAGUUCGCUCUGGGACUCCUCUGAGCUACUAAAUGAGGAGAUGGACUAAUGAGAAUGUACUGACUCCGCCACAUUGGAAGUUGAUAAUAAACAUUUACAAAACAAACUCAAACUGG